Non-coding RNA from Phthorimaea operculella (potato tuberworm), 72 nucleotides. NCBI's taxonomy places the organism in Eukaryota, Metazoa, Arthropoda, Insecta, Lepidoptera, Gelechiidae. The record is from the annotation of a GenBank genome assembly.
GCAUAGAUAGCUCAGUGGCAGAGUGGCGGUUUGUUGGCCCCUGCGGCCCGGGUUCGAGCCCCGGUCGAUGCA